ACACUCCGUCCCGUCACUGGUGCUCGCGGGCUUGUCCCGCAGUUAAACGGGAAGCAGGAAGCCGGCUCCGCCAGGAGCGCGCGCCAACCUGCGCUGCCCCCGCAACGGUAAGCGAAUGCUGCAUCGGCGGUUCAACCGCCGGGUGGCGCACGGGAUCCACAUGUCACUGCGGUCACGCGGGAAGACGGUCACGUAGGCACGAAGGUGCGAUUCGCCAGCCCGGAUACCGGCCAGCGACAGCGGGAUGGA
RNAcentral lists this non-coding RNA (249 nucleotides) under Ralstonia sp. The record is from RNAcentral. Lineage: Bacteria; Pseudomonadati; Pseudomonadota; Betaproteobacteria; Burkholderiales; Burkholderiaceae.